GGAAUCUUCCACAAUGGGCGCAAGCCUGAUGGAGCAACACCGCGUGAGUGAAGAAGGGUUUCGGCUCGUAAAGCUCUGUUGUUAGAGAAGAACGUGCGUGAGAGUAACUGUUCACGCAGUGACGGUAUCUAACCAGAAAGUCACGGCUAACUACGUGCCAGCAGCCGCGGUAAUACGUAGGUGGCAAGCGUUAUCCGGAAUCAUUGGGCGUAAAGGGGGCGCAGGCGGGGACGCAGGUCCUUCCUGAAAGUUCGGGGCUCAGCCCCGUGAUGGGAAGGAAACCGUGUCUCUUGAGCGCGGGAGAGGGAAGCGGAAUUCCUGGUGUAGCGGUGAAAUGCGUAGAUAUCAGGAAGAACACCAGUGGCGAAGGCGGCUUCCUGGACCGCGGCUGACGCUGAGGCCCGAAAGCCAGGGGAGCGAACG
This 423-nucleotide ribosomal RNA is filed under the name uncultured bacterium. RNAcentral's name for it is "bacterial SSU rRNA". It matches the Rfam family "Bacterial small subunit ribosomal RNA", at positions 358 to 774 of the family's 1533-position model. The record is from RNAcentral.